Molecule: microRNA, 22 nt
Filed under: Echinococcus granulosus
Lineage: Eukaryota; Metazoa; Platyhelminthes; Cestoda; Cyclophyllidea; Taeniidae
Description: egr-miR-10287-5p
Source: miRBase by way of RNAcentral
AAGAAGACCAUAGACACGCACU